Molecule: ribosomal RNA, 468 nt
Filed under: uncultured bacterium
Lineage: Bacteria
Description: partial 16S ribosomal RNA
Rfam family: Bacterial small subunit ribosomal RNA
Source: RNAcentral
GACGAACGCUGGCGGCGUGCUUAACACAUGCAAGUCGAACGGAAAGGCCCUGCUUUUGUGGGGUGCUCGAGUGGCGAACGGGUGAGUAACACGUGAGUAACCUGCCCUUGACUUUGGGAUAACUUCAGGAAACUUGGGCUAAUACCGGAUAGGAGCUCCUGCUGCAUGGUGGGGGUUGGAAAGUUUCGGCGGGUGGGGAUGGACUCGCGGCUUAUCAGCUUGUUGGUGGGGUAGUGGCUUACCAAGGCUUUGACGGGUAGGCGGCCUGGGAGGGUGGCCGGCCACAUUGGGACUGAGAUACGGACCAGACGCCUACGGGAGGCAGCAGUGGGGAAUAUUGCACAAUGGGCGGAAGCCUGAUGCAGCAACGCCGCGUGCGGGAUGACGGCCUUCGGGUUGUAAACCGCUUUCGCCUGUGACGAAGCGUGAGUGACGGUAAUGGGUAAAGAAGCACCGGCUAACUACGUG